RNAcentral lists this ribosomal RNA (460 nucleotides) under uncultured bacterium. RNAcentral describes it as "partial 16S ribosomal RNA". It matches the Rfam family "Bacterial small subunit ribosomal RNA", at positions 338 to 795 of the family's 1533-position model. The record is from RNAcentral.
CCUACGGGAGGCUGCAGUGAGGAAUAUUGGUCAAUGGGCGCGAGCCUGAACCAGCCAAGUAGCGUGAAGGAUGACUGCCCUACGGUUUGUCAACUUCUUUUAUAAAGGAAUACAGUGAGGCACGCGUGCCUUUUUGUAUGUCCUUUAUGAAUAAGGAUCGGCUAACUCCGUGCCAGCAGCAGCGGUAAUACGGAGGAUCCGAGCGUUCGCCGGAGUUAUUGGGUUUAAAGGGAGCGUAGAUGGGUUGUUAAGUCAGUUGUGAAUGUUUGCGGCUCAACCGUAAAAUUGCAAUUGAUACUGGCAGCCUUGAGUACAGUUGAGGUAGGCGGAAUUCGUGGUGUAGCGGUGAAAUGCUUAGAUAUCACGAAGAACUCCGAUUGCGAAGGCAGCCUACUAAACUGCCACUGACAUUGAUGCUCGAAAGUGUGGGUAUCAAACAGGAUUAGAUACCCCAGUAGUC